RNAcentral lists this ribosomal RNA (530 nucleotides) under uncultured archaeon. RNAcentral describes it as "bacterial SSU rRNA". It matches the Rfam family "Archaeal small subunit ribosomal RNA", at positions 325 to 851 of the family's 1478-position model. The record is from RNAcentral.
ACGGGGUGCAGCAGGCGCGAAACCUCUGCAAAAUAGGCGAAAGCUUGACAGGGUUACUCUGAGUGAUUUCCCGUUAAGGAGAUCUUUUGGCACCUCUAAAAAAUGGUGCAGAAAUAAGGGGUGGGCAAGUCUGGUGUCAGCCGCCGCGGUAAUACCAGCACCCCGAGUGGUCGGGACGUUUAUUGGGCCUAAAGCAUCCGUAGCCGGUUCUACAAGUCUUCCGUUAAAUCCACCUGCUUAACAGAUGGGCUGCGGAAGAUACUAUAGAGCUAGGAGGCGGGAGAGGCAAGCGGUACUCGAUGGGUAGGGGUAAAAUCCGUUGAUCCAUUGAAGACCACCAGUGGCGAAGGCGGCUUGUCAGAACGCGCUCGACGGUGAGGGAUGAAAGCUGGGGGGAGCAAACCGGAUUAGAUACCCGGGUAGUCCCAGCUGUAAACGAUGCAGACUCGGUGAUGAAUUGGCUUAUUGCUAAUUCAGUGCCGCAGGGAAGCCGUUAAGUUUGCCGCCUGGGGAGUACGGUCGCAAGACUG